This 433-nucleotide ribosomal RNA is filed under the name uncultured bacterium. Its description in RNAcentral is "partial 16S ribosomal RNA". It matches the Rfam family "Bacterial small subunit ribosomal RNA", at positions 29 to 507 of the family's 1533-position model. The record is from RNAcentral.
AACGAACGCUGGCGGCAUGCCUAACACAUGCAAGUCGAACGAGACCUUCGGGUCUAGUGGCGCACGGGUGCGUAACGCGUGGGAAUCUGCCCUUGGGUUCGGAAUAACAGUUGGAAACGACUGCUAAUACCGGAUGAUGACGUAAGUCCAAAGAUUUAUCGCCCAGGGAUGAGCCCGCGUAGGAUUAGCUAGUUGGUGGGGUAAAGGCCUACCAAGGCGACGAUCCUUAGCUGGUCUGAGAGGAUGAUCAGCCACACUGGGACUGAGACACGGCCCAGACUCCUACGGGAGGCAGCAGUGGGGAAUAUUGGACAAUGGGCGAAAGCCUGAUCCAGCCAUGCCGCGUGAGUGAUGAAGGCCUUAGGGUUGUAAAGCUCUUUUACCCGGGAUGAUAAUGACAGUACCGGGAGAAUAAGCCCCGGCUAACUCCGUG